Molecule: ribosomal RNA, 673 nt
Filed under: Salmonella enterica subsp. enterica serovar Infantis
Lineage: Bacteria; Pseudomonadati; Pseudomonadota; Gammaproteobacteria; Enterobacterales; Enterobacteriaceae
Also listed under: 1 other name
Description: partial 23S ribosomal RNA
Rfam family: Bacterial large subunit ribosomal RNA
Source: RNAcentral
AGACCCGAAACCCGGUGAUCUAGCCAUGGGCAGGUUGAAGGUUGGGUAACACUAACUGGAGGACCGAACCGACUAAUGUUGAAAAAUUAGCGGAUGACCUGUGGCUGGGGGUGAAAGGCCAAUCAAACCGGGAGAUAGCUGGUUCUCCCCGAAAGCUAUUUAGGUAGCGCCUCGUGAAUUCAUCUCCGGGGGUAGAGCACUGUUUCGGCUAGGGGGCCAUCCCGGCUUACCAACCCGAUGCAAACUGCGAAUACCGGAGAAUGUUAUCACGGGAGACACACGGCGGGUGCUAACGUCCGUCGUGAAGAGGGAAACAACCCAGACCGCCAGCUAAGGUCCCAAAGUCAUGGUUAAGUGGGAAACGAUGUGGGAAGGCCCAGACAGCCAGGAUGUUGGCUUAGAAGCAGCCAUCAUUUAAAGAAAGCGUAAUAGCUCACUGGUCGAGUCGGCCUGCGCGGAAGAUGUAACGGGGCUAAACCAUGCACCGAAGCUGCGGCAGCGACACUCAGGUGUUGUUGGGUAGGGGAGCGUUCUGUAAGUCUGCGAAGGUGGCCUGUGAGGGUUGCUGGAGGUAUCAGAAGUGCGAAUGCUGACAUAAGUAACGAUAAAGCGGGUGAAAAGCCCGCUCGCCGGAAGACCAAGGGUUCCUGUCCAACGUUAAUCGGGGCAGGGU